Molecule: ribosomal RNA, 403 nt
Filed under: uncultured bacterium
Lineage: Bacteria
Description: bacterial SSU rRNA
Rfam family: Bacterial small subunit ribosomal RNA
Source: RNAcentral
UGGGGAAUAUUGCGCAAUGGGGGAAACCCUGACGCAGCAACGCCGCGUGAUUGAAGAAGGCCUUCGGGUUGUAAAGAUCUUUAAUUCGGGACGAAUUUUGACGGUACCGAAAGAAUAAGCUCCGGCUAACUACGUGCCAGCAGCCGCGGUAAUACGUAGGGAGCAAGCGUUAUCCGGAUUUACUGGGUGUAAAGGGCGCGCAGGCGGGCCGGCAAGUUGGAAGUGAAAUCCGGGGGCUUAACCCCCGAACUGCUUUCAAAACUGCUGGUCUUGAGUGAUGGAGAGGCAGGCGGAAUUCCGUGUGUAGCGGUGAAAUGCGUAGAUAUACGGAGGAACACCAGUGGCGAAGGCGGCCUGCUGGACAUUAACUGACGCUGAGGCGCGAAAGCGUGGGGAGCAAACA